CAGAAAAUGAGUUGAUAGUACAC
RNAcentral lists this non-coding RNA (23 nucleotides) under Rattus norvegicus (Norway rat). Lineage: Eukaryota; Metazoa; Chordata; Mammalia; Rodentia; Muridae. The record is from RNAcentral.